Molecule: ribosomal RNA, 460 nt
Filed under: uncultured bacterium
Lineage: Bacteria
Description: partial 16S ribosomal RNA
Rfam family: Bacterial small subunit ribosomal RNA
Source: RNAcentral
CCUACGGGGGGCAGCAGUGAGGAAUAUUGGUCAAUGGGCGCGAGCCUGAACCAGCCAAGUAGCGUGAAGGAUGACUGCCCUACGGGUUGUAAACUUCUUUUAUAAAGGAAUAAAGUGAGGCACGUGUGCCUUUAUGUAUGUACUUUAUGAAUAAGGAUCGGCUAACUCCGUGCCAGCAGCCGCGGUAAUACGGAGGAUCCGGGCGUUAUCCGGAUUUAUUGGGUUUAAAGGGAGCGUAGAUGGGUUGAUAAGUCAGUUGUGAAAGUUUGCGGCUCAACCGUAAAAUUGCAAUUGAAACUGGCAGUCUUGAGUACAGUUGAGGUAGGCGGAAUUCGUGGUGUAGCGGUGAAAUGCUUAGAUAUCACGAAGAACUCCGAUGGCGAAGGCAGCUUACUAAACUGCCACUGACAUUGAUGCUCGAAAGUGUGGGUAUCAAACAGGAUUAGAUACCCGAGUAGUG